CCCUUUGAUACUCUGGGCGGCACGCGCGCUACACUGGUUUAUAUAACGUGUAAUUUGGACGAUAGUCUGUAUAAAUCACUAAUAUAAAACCGUGAAUGGGAUAGUUUAUUGCAACUUACAAACUUUAACUAGGAAUCCCUUGUAGAAGUAGUGAAUUAUACUGCUUCGAAUACGUCCCUGCCGAUUGCACACACCGCCCGUCGUUUCUUCCGACUGGUACUCAUUGUGAAUUGCGAGGAGAUUCUGUCAAAUCGUUGUAAAUGCUGGGUAUUGGAGGAAGAAAAAGUCGUAACA
Molecule: ribosomal RNA, 294 nt
Filed under: uncultured eukaryote
Lineage: Eukaryota
Description: partial 18S ribosomal RNA
Rfam family: Eukaryotic small subunit ribosomal RNA
Source: RNAcentral